GACGAACGCUGGCGGCGUGCUUAACACAUGCAAGUCGAACGGAAAGGCCCUGCUUUUGUGGGGUGCUCGAGUGGCGAACGGGUGAGUAACACGUGAGUAACCUGCCCUUGACUUUGGGAUAACUUCAGGAAACUGGGGCUAAUACCGGAUAGGAGCUCCUGCUGCAUGGUGGGGGUUGGAAAGUUUCGGCGGUUGGGGAUGGACUCGCGGCUCAUCAGCUUGUUGGUGGGGUAGUGGCUUACCAAGGCUUUGACGGGUAGCCGGCCUGAGAGGGUGACCGGCCACAUUGGGACUAAGAUACGGCCCAGACUCCUACGGGAGGCAGCAGUGGGGAAUAUUGCACAAUGGGCGGAAGCCUGAUGCAGCAACGCCGCGUGCGGGAUGACGGCCUUCGGGUUGUAUACCGCUUUCGCCUGUGACGAAGCGUGAGUGACGGUAAUGGGUAAAGAAGCACCGGCUAACUACGUG
RNAcentral lists this ribosomal RNA (468 nucleotides) under uncultured bacterium. Its description in RNAcentral is "partial 16S ribosomal RNA". It matches the Rfam family "Bacterial small subunit ribosomal RNA", at positions 28 to 507 of the family's 1533-position model. The record is from RNAcentral.